This 316-nucleotide ribosomal RNA is filed under the name Thaida peculiaris. Its description in RNAcentral is "partial 12S ribosomal RNA". The record is from RNAcentral. Lineage: Eukaryota; Metazoa; Arthropoda; Arachnida; Araneae; Austrochilidae.
AGGUAUUAUAAAUUUAAAUAAAAACCUAUAUUAAUUGGCGGCAUUUCAUCUAAUUAGAGGAACUUGUUUUUUAAUCGAUAAUCCUCGCUAUUUUUAACUUAAAUUAAAAAUCUAUAUACCGCCGUCUUAAAAUUUUAUAUAAAUAUUACAAAUUAAAAAAAAAAUUAAUAAGUCAGGUCAAGGUGUAAUAAAUAUUUAAGUAAAAAUGAGUUACUUAUUAAAUAAAUUAAAGGAUUUUUUAUAAAAAUAAAAAUGAAAUAGGAUUUAAUAUUAAUUUUAUAAUAAUAAUAUAAAAUGAAUAAGAUAAUACAUGUGC